AUAUAUUUAAUUGCAACUUUUAUUUAGAUCUACUAUUAUAGAAAACAACAAGUUUGAUAUUUUCCAAUUAUCUAGUAAACUUAACAAUAAGCUAUUAUUGAUUAUUUUGUGGUAUUCUAUCUUUAGUGAUAGAGAGAAGAAAUAAAUAUAUUAUGCUUCACUGAUAUCUUACGUAUUCUAAUAUAAAAUGAUAGACAUUAAAUAAUUUAAUAAUAUAAUAUGUUACAAUAGAAGAAAAUCAACAUUACAUUGGUAGUAAAAUAAGUAAUGACUACCAUAAACAUGCUUAAAACGUGCUAACAUAGAUGUAAAAUGUAUUAGAAGAAUUUAACACAAUAUCACAAUCAAUCAAAUACUUUCGGGAAAAUGUUUAAGCAAUAAAAUUAGAGUUUUAGAAUGUGCAGUAGAAUAUGAUUUACUGGAUAAAAUAUAUUAUAAAAAAGUAAAUAUAAUAUACUAAUAUUCAGCAGUAUUUCUUAAAUAAAAUGAAUAGCAUACUGUAACUUAUUAAAACAAUAAUGCUUCAAACCAAUUACGUUCAGAAAAAGAUAGAAGCAAUGUAAUGAGAUUUAAAAUAUAUUGUUAUAGCACGAAAGAAUCUUCAUAGGUAAGAUAACAAAUUAAUAAGUACAUAUAUUAUAAAUGUAUUUAAUAAUAUAUGAUAGAUAAAUAUGAAGAGCGUAUCACGAGACUCUUUUACAAUUGCCAUAUAAAUAAUAUAUUUUUGGAAAAUUUUAAGCAAUAAUCAAAGUUGUUGGUAAAUUGCGUAGUUAUUUCUCAGUCUGGACGCAAAACUGAGAUAGGACGCGUCUUUGUAAACGGAAAAGUUAACUUAUGAAAUAGUAAAUAAUGGAGAAGAAAGUGUUAGUUUACAAAAGAAAAAACGCAGAUAUUUUGAGCGACACAAACGUCAAAUGCAAAGUCAGAACAACAGAAUAUCGGCAAUUUUUAUUCUAUACAGGACUAACUAUUUUGCUUGAUUUAUUUGGAAAGCGAAUAAAGCAUUUUUUGAAACUGCACUACGCUAUACGAAUUUUAGUUUCUCUUAAUGAAAGGAUUUUGUUUCUCUUUAUUCUCUUGAUGAAUGAAAUUGAUAUGGCUAAAGAUAUACUACGGCAUUUUGUAUCCGAAAGCGUUGACAUAUACGGCAGAAGAUUUUUAUCGUAUAAUACGCAUAGUCUUUUGCAUUUGGCAAACAACGCUCGUAAUUUUGGACCAUUAAAUUAUUUUUCAUGUUUUCCAUUUGAAAAUAAUAUGACUUUUUUUCGAAAAAUAGCACAAAAACCUUCUCAAGAAUUACAAUAAAUAUAUAAAAAAUUUUAAUAAAGGAAAUGUAAACAAUCACGGUUAUCAGUGCAAAUUUCUUCUACAAAAAUCGCACAUGCAUUUAACGUGAAAAGGAAUAGCUCUUCGGACAGUCAUCCGACUAUUACUAAACAAUGUUCGAAGAUUAAAUAUCGAGGAUUUACAUAUGAUUUAAGUAAACGUAAUAAUUGUUGUAUUCCAUUUGUUAGUAACUUGUACAUAUUAAGAAAUAUACUGUAUGUAAACAACACAAAUACUUACCAUUUGAAAGUGCAGAAAUUUCAGGAAGUAGAUUCUUUAUAUAACGUUGAUGAUUUAGACCCUCGAAGAAUUGGAAUGUUUAAAUGUUCAAAGUUAUCCAAAGAUUCCAUAAUAAUUCCACUCGAAGAAAUAAAGUCUAAGGCUUUAAAAUGCUCUUUCGGCACAACAGUGAAAAAUUUUUUGAAGAAAAAAUUUAUGUAAUAGCACAAUUAUUCGAGGAAGAAUAGUUAUUAAAUUAGCACAAGAUAAAUUACAUUAAAUUCCAUUAAACUGAAUUGCUGUAAAAUUGUGUAUUUAAUUACAUCAUUAGUUUCUAUGUUAAGUAAAAUAUUUAAGUUGCUAAACAAAAAUGUUUACAAUAAUUGAUUAUUUUUAAACGUCCAAUAAUUAAUUUCAUAUGUUGAAAUAAGUUAAUUGCAUAAUUUAGCAUUUAUAGCAUUUAUAGCAUUUAUAUCAUUUAUGUUAAUAGCUUUUUCGACUGCAGUGGGUUUUAACCCAGGUUCGUUACCAUUUGUCGGAAUCGUUCAAUUAGAACGGACGAUCGUCCAUUCUAAUUGAACGAUUCCGGCAAACGGCAAUAAACCUGGGUUAAAAACCACUGCAGUCAAAAACGAUAUAAGAUUCAAAUUAUACAUAAUUCGUGCCUCGUAGCGCAUAGCGCUCUAGUAUAACAUCAUGUUUCAGUCUCGUGACAAAAAACAUUUGAUUCUUGAAACUCGUCGAGACAAGUCUUCAGUUCACUAGAUUUUCUUUCUUGUUGAGAAGUGCAUACAUAAUCGAAAUAAUGAAUAAUGAAAUUGUUGAAAACACAUGUGCCUCUCAAAUGGAUAACAUUGAUCUUCCGGAAAAAAAUAAUCUAUUAGCAACAUGUAAUACAGAUUGUGGAUAUAUCAACGAUAUUCAACAACAACAACAAUGCAGCGCUUUAUUAGUAGAGCCUACUGACGUCAUCAAGGUAUACAAUUACCUUUCAACGAUAGUGUUGUACAAGAAAUAGGCAAGAUAAAUAAGAAAAGAAAUGCUGCUAUUGAUGAUGAACUAUUGAAUGUAAAACAAAUGCGAAGAAAUGAUACCAAUAAUUCUUUAGAGAGACAAGAUGAAUCUGACGAAUCUACAACUGAUAUGAAGACGAUAAGAGAAUCUCUACGGUAUAUAUUUAACGAAAACGUUAAGUUAUUUUUACAUACAGGGUUGGGUAAACUUCCGAAAACGAUCAAAUAUCUCGAAAAAGAUCAACUAUAGCAAAAAAUAUUUUGAAAGCUGUUAUACUAACAAUUCUAUUGAAAAUACAUGGAAAUGUAACGAAUUACCGAAAUUGCCUUGCAUUCUACCAAUAACAUUUGAAGAUUUUACAAAAUUAGAACAAUAUCUUUACAAUGAAAACAAUUUAGGUUUUUUGUUUUUUCUAGGCAAAUUAUUUGUCAACAAUUGGAAGCUGUGGAGACAUUACAUCAAUAACAAAUAACAUACUUCAUAGCCUUUUAUCAAAUCAAAUUGCAUCGUUGUACAGUUUUUAUGGAAAGCGGAAUAAUAAAAGGUCCUUUGUGCUACUAAAGGUCAAUAGUGUGGUGAUUUCAUCAGUUCUUAAGGGACUACCCGGUUUUACGAACAUCAAGUACACGAAUGCAUUAAGGAUCUAAAAUUCUUCUAGGUCUAAUAAGAAAAGGAAGAUAUACAUGUGAAUCAUACUUCUAUUACUUCAUUUAUCCAACGGAGUCGAAAUUAGUAAGUUGAACUCAUAAUGGGAGAUAUAUCUAGCUAUUAUAUCUGAUUUAGUUGAAACAGUGCAGAUAACUUCCGUAACAUUAGCAAAGAUGUUAGAUAAGUGGAGAUAAGAGGAGCGAGAGAGAAGUAUGUCAGAGCAAUUCAUGUAACAGGCGAACUCGAUGGCCGUCAUUCCUGUCGAAUCACUGAAGCCAACGGAAGCGAAUUCUCCGGUGGCUGAUGUAACAUCGUGGAGACCCACUGACACGCAUCAAACGAUAAUGCUUAUCCUGAGACAGAUUAUGCGGAGAAAUGUUUUUUCAAUUUAAAUUCCUGCUUUGCGACACAGGAAGUUGCAAUCUUCUAAAUUCGUAAGACUUCCACGAAAAUAACGUCACCAAAGAAGUAUCGCAUACAGACACAAAACUAAUUAUGUGGACACAGAAUUGUUGCACGUUUAUUUUAUGCUACUCACUGAAUAUUUUAUAUUAUAUUCAUUAAAUAUUUACGUUAUUUUAUGCGAAUUCACUAAAUAUGUAUUAUAAUUUUUAAGAAUAACUCUCGAGUGAAAGUGAUAACCUUUACCAGUGAUACAUUUCCGUCUCUCAAAAGCAAACUUGUAUUGAAACUAAAAACAUUCAAAUCACAUUUAAUAGUAUUUAAUCGCAAAUUUUAUGAGAAAGUAGCAUUAAAUAAAAUUUUUUACGCUAAUACUAAUAA
This is a long non-coding RNA of Solenopsis invicta (red fire ant), 3990 nucleotides long. RefSeq lists it as uncharacterized. The record is from RefSeq and is a predicted model, not a curated record. NCBI's taxonomy places the organism in Eukaryota, Metazoa, Arthropoda, Insecta, Hymenoptera, Formicidae. The transcript has 5 exons.